This is a long non-coding RNA of Callithrix jacchus (white-tufted-ear marmoset), 2230 nucleotides long. The record is from Ensembl. NCBI's taxonomy places the organism in Eukaryota, Metazoa, Chordata, Mammalia, Primates, Cebidae.
GACAUUAGUAAAAAUAAGUCUCACGGCUAGACAAACUGUCAUAUACAAGCAUGAACUGGUAUCCAGAACAUAAUAUUUAAAUAAUGUUUCUGAAGACUGCACACAGUUUUGUUCAAUUUAUGUAAAGCUCAAACACCUGCAAAACUAAACAGGAUAAACUCUAUAGAUACAAUUAGGUUAAAAAAAUAUGACGAGGCUGGGCUCUGUGGCUCUUGCCUAUAACCCCAACACUUUGGGAGGCUGAGGUGGGUGGACCACUUGAGGCCGGGAAUUGCAGAUCAGUCUAGCCAACACGGCAAAAUCUUGUCUCUACUAAAAAUAUAAAAGCUAGCCAGGCAUGCUGUGACACACCAGUAAUCCCAGCUGAGGCAUGAGAAUUGCUUGAACCCAGGAGGCGGAGUUUGCAGUGAGCUGAGAUCAUACAACUGCACUUCAACUUGGGCGACAGAGCAAGACUCUGUGUCAAAAAAAAAAAAACCCUUAAAAAACAAAGCAAAAAAAGCCCAAACCAAAGCAAACCAAAAACAAAACAAAACAAAAACCCAACUAUGAUGAUAAACAAGUAAAACAGCAACCACACAAAACCUUUGUGGAGAAGAGAGAAAAGGGGAUAAAGGAAGACCACAUAGAGAAUUUCAAAGAAGAGAAGAAUUUCCCAAGGGGAGAAAAGACAAGAAACCAGACUUCCCUUUCAAAGAGUUAGCUUCACACAGACUAGAGUCAUGGAGAAAUGGGAUUGAAAAUGAAACGGUGGGAAUUGGAAUUCCUAAAUUUCAACAUUACUUACCUUUUUUGGGAAGGGCACACUGUGGGGUGCAGAAUGACUGGUGUUCCAAAAUUCUAACCCCACUCGGUAGAGGUGGCUUCUUGCUGGUGGAUUCCGGGUUCUCAGAUCAGAUAAUACCCUGGAAGUCCAACUUCUCUCCCCAGACAGUGUCAACUUUGUAUCCACACAUCAUUUAGGGACUGUUUGAUUAUAUUGAGUUAGUAUGACAUUAAUAAUAAGCUGUUGAAAAGAAUUAAGAAGUAGAAUCAAAAGAUUUCUUUAUUUCUUAUUCUAAAUAUAUGAUUCUAUCCAAAGAUUUGUGUAUCUUACUGAUAUCUAAUUCCAUGUAAACUAGGAAUGGGUGCAUUUCAUUUCAUGAUUCAAGUAAUAUUUUUAGUGAUACUAUCUCAUAUAGAGCACACUAUGGAGCUGGGUGCAGUGGCUCACACCUGUAAUCCCAGUACUUUGGGAGAAUGAGGCAGGUAGAUCACAAGGUCAGAAGAAUGAGACCAGCCUGGCCAAAAUGGUGAAACUCCAUCUCUACUGAAAAAAAUUAGCCAGGCGUGGUCAUGUGUGCCUGUAAUCCCAGCUGCUUGGGAGGCUGAGGCAGGAGACUCACUUGAACCUGGGAGGCAGAGAUUGCAGUGAGUGGAGAUUGUGCCACUGCACUACAAUCUGGGUGACAGAGCUGUCUCGAAAAAAAAAAAAAGCAGCACACUAUGUUUAAUUCAUGCUAAGUUGUAACUGAUCAAUGUCAAAUCCUUUCUUUAUAGCAUCUUUGACAAAAGGGAAGGGAAAGAGCAAGGGAGCAAGGCUGCUCUUUCUGGGAAGACGAGGAAUAGGAAAACAUUGCCUAAGUGUUUUACUGAACAGAACUUCUGCCCCUGCAUAACUAAAAUGUGACAACACCCUUUCAGAUGGUCUCUGCUUCACUACAAACCACCUGGAUACUCUACUCACUAUCCUAAAUGCAUUUAACAUCACAACACAUUAGCAAGUAAUGAUGUUUUAAUGAGAUUUUAUAUAGGAAGAGAAUAGGAAUAUUUCACUAUGUACCCAAGUGAAAACAUAAUAUGCUUCCUCCAGAUUAUGGUGGUUUUUUGUUUCAAGUUCACUAGCCAUCUCAUUUCUCCUUCUUCCUCCCUCAUGUGUAAUCUAAAAUUGUUUUUCUGGUUCUGAAUAAUUCUGCUCUGAUCUCACCUUAUAUUCUCCAAUGAAGUGAUAGACAGGCUCAUCAAUUGUCACUUCAUCUGGGAGCAUCAACGGUCACUUAAGAGUGGCUAUUGGAUCUCUGAUAUCCUACUCUAGAUGGCUUAUCAAAAUUUCUGUUUAACAGAAAUAGCUUCUUCCUGUGUGGGGACUUAAAUUGGCUUAGAGAAAGUGAUUGCUAAGGAAAAAGUUUCAUGUACUUUUCUAUGUAUGUUUGCAUAUGUGUGUGUAUGUGUGUAUAUACACACAAGUGAU